Molecule: non-coding RNA, 46 nt
Organism: Flavobacterium sp.
Lineage: Bacteria; Pseudomonadati; Bacteroidota; Flavobacteriia; Flavobacteriales; Flavobacteriaceae
Source: Rfam
GUUGGGAAUUAUAAGUAAAAAUACAAUUUUGAAAGCAAUUCACAAC